AUGUGGAGAACAAAGGCUAAGUGCGCCACGUCCUGUGGCAAAGCCUUUGUGACCAACAUCCUGUUGG
RNAcentral lists this small RNA (67 nucleotides) under Psychrobacillus psychrodurans. Its description in RNAcentral is "Bacillaceae-1 RNA". It matches the Rfam family "Bacillaceae-1 RNA". The record is from RNAcentral. Lineage: Bacteria; Bacillati; Bacillota; Bacilli; Caryophanales; Bacillaceae.